Solanum pennellii is the source of this 125-nucleotide small nuclear RNA. NCBI's taxonomy places the organism in Eukaryota, Viridiplantae, Streptophyta, Magnoliopsida, Solanales, Solanaceae. The record is from RefSeq and is a predicted model, not a curated record.
GUGUUCGUAGAAAGUAGAGAUGGUUGGCAUCUCCUCAGAUAGGGACGGGAACAACAUUCGGGCUUUACCUGUUAUCGAUCAGACACAUCUCUGUUAAGGCUAUCCACUUCAGUAGAUAAUGUUAU